RNAcentral lists this ribosomal RNA (536 nucleotides) under uncultured bacterium. RNAcentral describes it as "bacterial SSU rRNA". It matches the Rfam family "Bacterial small subunit ribosomal RNA", at positions 344 to 896 of the family's 1533-position model. The record is from RNAcentral.
GGUGGCAGCAGUAGGAAUAUUAGUUAAUGUGCGAAAGCGCGAACUAGCAACGCCGCGUGUGCGAUGACGGCCUUCGGGUUGUAAAGCACUUUUCUAAGGGACGAGGAAGGACGGUACCUUAGGAAUAAGCAUCGGCUAACUACGUGCCAGCAGCCGCGGUAAAACGUAGGAUGCGAGCGUUAUCCGGAUUUACUGGGCGUAAAGCGCGUGUAGGCGGUUCGGUAAGUUGGAUGUGAAAGCUCCCGGCUUAACUGGGAGAGGUCGUUCAAUACUGCCGAGCUAGAGGAUGGUAGAGGGAGGUGGAAUUCCGAGUGUAGUGGUGAAAUGCGUAGAUAUUCGGAGGAACACCAGUGGCGAAAGCGGCCUCCUGGACCAUUUCUGACGCUCAGACGCGAAAGCUAGGGUAGCAAACGGGAUUAGAGACCCCGGUAGUCCUAGCCGUAAACGAUGUAGACUUGGCGUCGGCGGGUUUAAAUCCGUCGGUGUCGAAGCUAACGCGAUAAGUCUACCGCCUGGGGACUACGGCAGCAAGGUUA